ACGUCCCUGGCUUUAUCAUCAUCAAAGAAGCACCUCCAGAUGCAGCCUACAAUCCAAAACCGAGCAGAAACAAAUUUGGGAUAAGACUCUUACUUUAUGACAACUUCGCAUGUGCUAACUUGUUUUGUUUCAGUGUGUGUGAAUCGGGUUUGGGGAAUGCAUCAGGAGUAUGGAGAGCCCAACGUAUCAGUUCCUUCUACCAAACAAAUCCAGUCAGCAACAAUGCCUAACAAAGAGGCUUGCAAGGUAAGUGUAAUCUGAUUAUCAACGUUAAUGUUACUGACUUGGCUCCUUUUGUUGCAGAUGAGCUAGAUUUGAGGACAAAUCCUUUUCAAGAGGGAGGGGAUGAUAUGAUCAUGGACCAGCCAAACAAAGAAGAUAAUGAGAGCAUGGAUGAUCUUGCUGAUGGAGGAGCUCUAGCCAUAUCUGAAGGUCCUAUGACUCGAGCCAGAAGCAAGCAACUCAAAGAAGCCAUUGGAGGAUUACUUAAGACAUCACUGAAGCAAGAAGAGAGUCUUGGAAGAAGCUUGAUCAACCAAGACACACUUGCCACAAUUCAAGCCAUCUCAGCUCCAAGAUAGACAUCAAAUGAGCAAGUAACAUAUGUGUGCUCUUUUUCCCUAUCUUUGGUUUUGUCCCACUGGGUUUUCCAAAGAUAGGUUUUUAAUGAGGCCAUAUGUUGCUUUCCUAUCACUCAUUUGAUGAUCUCAGUUCAAGACUUUAUUUUAAUUAUUUAUCUUUGUUAACAUGAAGCAGAAUUAGGCUGCUAGACUUGAGAAUUAGGCUGCUAGACUUGAGAAUUAAGCUGCCAGACUUGAGAACCCUUAUAAGGUUUUAUAAAGUUUUUAUAAGAUUUUAUAAGGUUUAUUUUUAAGGCCCAUUUAGAGACCAAGGAGCCUGUUCCUUGCCUUCUCUAUAAAUACAAGGUUUUUAUAAGGUUUUAUAAGGUUUAUUUUAAGGCCCAUUUAGAGACCAAGGAGCCUGUUCCUUGCCUUCUCUAUAAAGUUUUUAUAAGAUUUUAUAAGGUUUAUUUUUAAGGCCCAUUUAGAGACCAAGGAGCCUGUUCCUUGCCUUCUCUAUAAAUAUGUGUCUGAAAACCCUAAUAGAUCUAUCCAAUCUUUAUUUCUAAACUCUUGUUUCUCUCUAGUCGGCCACAAGCUUGUCUUGUAGAUCUGAGAUUUCUUGAGUCUUUGUUAGUGUGUCAUAUCUAACAAAACCACAAGAGUGAUUGUCUUGGUGUGUCAUAUCCAAGGGAUUCACUUAGGAGUAUCAAGGAGACCUCUCACAUCUCUUUGUGUCACCAUUCAUUCCACAAAUCUUGAAGCAGAUUGAGUCUUUGAUUCUCUGUUUGCAAGGAUCUAUCCCAUUCCAACCAGAGAAGCAUCCUAGGAGUGUAUUAUGUGGUAUCAGAGCAACUCUGGCUAGCGAAGUUCUCGUUUUCUUUAAGUUUUCACUCAAAUCUGUCUCUUGGUUUCAUAAGAAGCAUCCUAGGAGUGUAUUACAUAAAGUGGUGGAGAAUCACCAGGAAGUUGAAUAAAUCUCAUAGGAGUUGGCAUGAAGUUAUGUGGUAUCAGAGCAACUCUGGCUAGCGAAGUUCUCGUUUUCUUUAAGUUUUCACUCAAAUCUGUCUCUUGGUUUCAUAACUAUUGAUAGAUCUGAGUUUUGUUGUGUUGUUUCUGUCGAUUUGAUUCACUCUGAGUUCAGUAUUGCAAGAUCUGUUGCUGUGUGUUUUUAAAUUGAUAGAUCUGAAAGUUUCUAUUUUAGAUCUGUGAUAGAUCUGAUCAUCUCUUGUUGUUUCUUUGAUUGAUCUAUGAUUGUGUUGUUGAGUUUUAAUAGAUUCAAGCUUGUUGAUCUCGUUUCUGAUAAAAACUUUUUAUAUUCUUGUUGCAGAAGUAAUCGAUUUGCUUAAUCUGUUUCUGUUUUGGAUUUGUGUGAUUCCGAUCUGUUCGUAUUGCUUUGAAUAUAAUCUAUCUUGUUUGGUUGAUUAGAUUUCGAAUUUAAUCUGUCUCUGUUUAAGAUUGAUCGAUCAUAUUGCGUUGGUGAAUUGUUCUGAUUAUCAAACUGUUUUAUUUGAUUUGCUUGUCGUUAUAAAAUUGAUCUGUUGUUAAUUCUGAGUGUUGUUUCUCUUAGAACUAGUUACUGGUUUCUGUUUUAUUUGUGUCUCAGGUACCAACGGAGAAGGAGCACAAAGGAAAACAUCAGCCAAAGAAAAAUAGAGAAUGCUCAAGAUCAACCAGAGAUGAGUACAGGCAAAAAGAGUUUGACCAGUUUGACAGGAACCGGAAGCAUGCUGUCUAUGAAUUUCAAAUCCCUCCAUUCCAUGGCAUGGCGGCUCCUGAAGCUUAUGUGAAGUGGGAAAAGAAGAUUGAGUUGAUUUUCAGUAGUCAACACUAUGCUGAAAGAAAGAAGAUUCAAAUGGCUACUGCUGAGUUUUGUGGUCAUGCUUUAAGAUGGUGGAAUCAGUUGAUAAAGUGCAGAAGACUUGAUGGAAAAGAACCAGUGGAAACAUGGCUUAAGCUGAGGGCUUUGAUGCGUAGAGAGUACGUUCCAAGACAGUACCACAAGGAAGUUUUUCAAAAGCGGCCUGAGACAAAGCUAUGUUCUUCAUUAUCAGUUCAGAAACAACCAGACCGCAAGAGAUCAAGUCCAUCUAGUAACCUGGUUUCAUCAAGCAAAACAUCAACCCAUUCCUUUGAAGAUAGCAUAAGGAAGGCAAUUUCACAAGCGUUUAGGGAUGUGAAGAAACAAUUUAAACAGUCCAAGACUAUAUCUCCAUCCUUAGAAGUACAGAACCAAGCGCCUUCCUCAACUGUCUCAGAACUCAAAGAUGCAGAACCAGACUCAGUUGCACAAUCAGACUUGGCUGCACUACUUCAAGAAGAUCAAACUGAGAUUCCAACAAUCACCAUUCAGAAAGAUGAUCAACCCAUCAAGGACGACCUGAUUCUCUUCGAACAGGAUGUAAUAGAAGAGGAGGCACCCAUGAAAUCAAAAUCAGACAGUGGAGUAGAGCAUCUAUUUGUCACUGAUUCAAACGGUUUCCAAAGGACAUUCUUGGGUACUUUUCUCAUCAGUCCUUUUUUGUGGAACAAGACCAGAGCAGUAGAGAUUUCAAGACACGAACUGGGCAUGGAACAUGUUGUAUUUGAUCCUGGAGGAGAGUUGUGGAAUCACAGGAACAAUCCCUUAGUGAUUGAGAAGAAAUCGGCAGCAACAACAAUUGUUUUUGAUGAUCUUUUACCCUCUGAAGCUAAAGGGAUGCACGUCUCUGCUCAGCAAGAGUUUCACUACGAAACCAAUUGGAGAAUGUUACCCACUCUUUCCUGGAUCCAACAAACCAGAAAACGCAGCAAAUGGUCUCCUGAUCAUCAAGAUAUUGUCAAUUCCGCAAAACAUAUCGGUUUAGCCAAAUUCUGUGAGCUGCUUAUAUCAGAUUGGGGUGGAAGGUUACAGUUCUACUUGUGGAAACCUGGAGCAUAUGCCAGCAUACUUAUCAUCCUUGGAGAGUGCUCUGCUCGAGGUAGAACCAGUUGGGUAAUAAAGAGUUGGAAGCUGAUCAAAAUGCCUUGCUUCUUGAUCAUGUCAAGGUGUGGAAGCCACCAGAUUUGCAAAAGCUUCAAUACCAUUUCAGAGAUUAUCAAACCAAGAGUGGAGAUGGAGAUUUCACUAGAGUAAAUGGUGAAGUGAUUACUGGAAUAGGAGGAGAACUCAUUUUUUCUUCUCGAAUCAAGGAGAAACCACUAGAUGGAAUCAGUCUACAUCAAUCUCCAAAUAAACCAACCCGAGGUAAUUAUCUAGAUUCAAAGAAACGCAUGAAACCUGAUUUGCUUUCUAUUGGUACAGGUCAAACAGUUCUGAGUACUAGAAUUUUCGAAAAGAGAGACUAUAGUAAUGAUCAGAGUAUCAAGAAUGGAUCUUUGGCUAAAUUGGAGAUGCAACAAUCAAAUCUUGGAAGCUGUCUAGCCGCCAACUCUGACAUAGGAGCAGUCCGAGGAUCAUAUAUUGGAGAUGCAACAAUCAAAUCUUGGAAGCUGUCUAGCCGCCAGCUUUGACAUAGGAGCAGUCCGAGGAUCAUAUCUCAACAACCAAAAGGAAUUAAGCAACAAACUCGACUGCAAUAGAAACUUAACUCAUCUGGGUCUCACGUCGAAUUGGAAUCAUGUCCAAAGCUUCUCAGGUGAAAUAGUUAUGAGUUUUAGAAGUCGGGUGAUCCUGUGUUUGCUUUGUUUGAAAUUUUCUGAGUUUAGAACAUCUCAAUUCUAUCUAUGGCGACCAGGUGAGUAUGUUAAUGUAAGUGAUCAUGUUCUCAAGAAUUCUUUUAUCACUGAUUAUACAGAUAUGAUGCACUUGUUUUUGUCAAAAGAGCCAUGUGCAGAUUUUAAGAGAGCUGGGAAGCAUAUAAGAAGAAACUACAAAAAUGAGGAAGAUAAGAGAUUCAAACCACCUGAUCAAGACCAGGAUAAUCACCAAGACGUCCCUGGCUUUAUCAUCAUCAAAGAAGCACCUCCAGAUGCAGCCUACAAUCCAAAACCGAGCAGAAACAAAUUUGGGAUAAGACUCUUACUUUAUGACAACUUCGCAUGUGCUAACUUGUUUUGUUUCAGUGUGUGUGAAUCGGGUUUGGGGAAUGCAUCAGGAGUAUGGAGAGCCCAACGUAUCAGUUCCUUCUACCAAACAAAUCCAGUCAGCAACAAUGCCUA
RNAcentral lists this long non-coding RNA (4700 nucleotides) under Brassica napus (rape). RNAcentral describes it as "long non-coding RNA (BNAP_LNC012188)". Lineage: Eukaryota; Viridiplantae; Streptophyta; Magnoliopsida; Brassicales; Brassicaceae. The record is from RNAcentral.